Molecule: long non-coding RNA, 910 nt
Organism: Bombyx mori (domestic silkworm)
Lineage: Eukaryota; Metazoa; Arthropoda; Insecta; Lepidoptera; Bombycidae
Exons: 2
Source: RefSeq, a predicted model, not a curated record
UUUCUUUUUUUUUUUUUUUCUCUUUUUUUUUUUUUUAAUCUGCGUGCACGGUAGCGUUUGUUAAAACAUCUCUUAAACCAGAACAUUUAUACGGAAUUUCUUCAGAAAUAGUGCGAGCCCGACCAUCGUUUUCUACAUUUCCAACACCUGCACCUGAGGUGCCUGAGCUUACAGACAUUGUAUCACUACCCGCAGACUAUGUUUGCUGUAUCGCUAUUUGCGGACAAAAAUGUCGCUUCUAUUGUCAGUGAUAGAGUCGUCAUCAUUAAGAUCAGUUUCAUGAACAAGAUUACUUAACCCAUCUGUGUACGCCGUCACGUCAUCGUCACUAUAAUUUUCAGAAAUUUCUAGUAGGCCUGACGGGCCUCGAGGUACUUCGCGUAAGUUUUCAUGGGAAACUUUGUACACUAGAACCAUUUACAUGUCUCAACUUAUACCUAUCGUUUUCCAAAACUGCAGAUGAUUGAAAGAUUACUGGUGGUCCGGAGGCCUUUCCCGCUUCACCGGGACGGGUGGGCGAGCAAAGGCUCAGCCAAGAGGGGUGGGAUUUGCUAACAACUGCCCGAGUGCCUCCGAAGGAGACCUAACAACUCAAGAGCAAUUGCUUCGCGAAUGAAUCUACUACCGGAUCGGAAUCGUGACCCACUGAGAAGAUCCGGCGAGAAACUCAGUGGGCUGAUGCAUGGGUUAGGUUGCACGUCGACCUCUUUGUAGAGUUCGAUGAGUACGGUUACCGGGGUUCCUCAGCCUGCUCCUAGUGUUAGAGCUGAAGGUAUCUAAUGCAAGAGUUAUUGGAUCUGGUGGAUCCGUAAGGACGUGUCUAAGGCGACGACGGUGACUUGCUCCUGCGUGAUCAGGAUUCGGGGUGCUGUAAUGUUGAAGGGACCUUUAUAUUUUCGGUCUAAUUUAC